This 465-nucleotide ribosomal RNA is filed under the name uncultured bacterium. RNAcentral describes it as "bacterial SSU rRNA". It matches the Rfam family "Bacterial small subunit ribosomal RNA", at positions 338 to 795 of the family's 1533-position model. The record is from RNAcentral.
CCUACGGGGGGCAGCAGUGGGGAAUAUUGCACAAUGGGCGCAAGCCUGAUGCAGCCAUGCCGCGUGUAUGAAGAAGGCCUUCGGGUUGUAAAGUACUUUCAGCGAGGAGGAAGGCGUUAAGGUUAAUAACCUUAGCGAUUGACGUUACUCGCAGAAGAAGCACCGGCUAACUCCGUGCCAGCAGCCGCGGUAAUACGGAGGGUGCAAGCGUUAAUCGGAAUUACUGGGCGUAAAGCGCACGCAGGCGGUCUGUCAAGUCGGAUGUGAAAUCCCCGGGCUCAACCUGGGAACUGCAUUCGAAACUGGCAGGCUAAAGUCUUGUAGAGGGGGGUAGAAUUCCAGGUGUAGCGGUGAAAUGCGUAGAGAUCUGGAGGAAUACCGGUGGCGAAGGCGGCCCCCUGGACAAAGGCUGACGCUCAGGUGCGAAAGCGUGGGGAGCAAACAGGAUUAGAUACCCCAGUAGUC